This 69-nucleotide transfer RNA is filed under the name Bacillus testis. It matches the Rfam family "tRNA". Rfam says of the family: Transfer RNA (tRNA) molecules are approximately 80 nucleotides in length. Their secondary structure includes four short double-helical elements and three loops (D, anti-codon, and T loops). The record is from RNAcentral. Lineage: Bacteria; Bacillati; Bacillota; Bacilli; Caryophanales; Bacillaceae.
UGAAAUAGCUCAGUGGUAGAGCAAUCGCCUCGUAAGCGAUAGGUCGACAGUUCAAAUCUGUCUUUCAGC